RNAcentral lists this ribosomal RNA (253 nucleotides) under uncultured bacterium. RNAcentral's name for it is "partial 16S ribosomal RNA". It matches the Rfam family "Bacterial small subunit ribosomal RNA", at positions 524 to 776 of the family's 1533-position model. The record is from RNAcentral.
UACGGAGGGUGCGAGCGUUGUCCGGAAUCACUGGGCGUAAAGGGCGCGUAGGCGGCCUGAUAAGUAGGGGGUGAAAUCCUGCGGCUUAACCGCAGGGCUGCCUUCUAAACUGUCAGGCUCGAGCACAGUAGAGGCAGGUGGAAUUCCCGGUGUAGCGGUGGAAUACGUAGAGAUCGGGAAGAACAUCAGUGGCGAAGGCGGCCUGCUGGGCUGUUGCUGACGCUGAGGCGCGACAGCGUGGGUAGCAAACAGG